GGGAGAGUAGCUCAGUGGUUAGAGCAGGGCGCUCAUAACGCCUUUGUCGAGAGUUCAAUUCUCUCCUUUCCCACCA
This 76-nucleotide transfer RNA is filed under the name bacterium DOLZORAL124_38_8. Its description in RNAcentral is "tRNA-Met". It matches the Rfam family "tRNA". Rfam says of the family: Transfer RNA (tRNA) molecules are approximately 80 nucleotides in length. Their secondary structure includes four short double-helical elements and three loops (D, anti-codon, and T loops). Further hydrogen bonds mediate the characteristic L-shaped molecular structure. tRNAs have two regions of fundamental functional importance: the anti-codon, which is responsible for specific mRNA codon recognition, and the 3' end, to which the tRNAs corresponding amino acid is attached (by aminoacyl-tRNA synthetases). tRNAs cope with the degeneracy of the genetic code in two manners: having more than one tRNA (with a specific anti-codon) for a particular amino acid; and 'wobble' base-pairing, i.e. permitting non-standard base-pairing at the 3rd anti-codon position. The record is from RNAcentral.